GGUAAUGCCGGAUGCUCCAUCACACUGCAUGGUGUGUUGGGAAAGCCUUUGCGGCAUGGGAUGGGGUCGCGUCCUAUCAGCUUGAUGGCGGGGUAACGGCCCACCAUGGCUUCGACGGGUAGCCGGCCUGAGAGGGCGACCGGCCACAUUGGGACUGAGAUACGGCCCAGACUCCUACGGGAGGCAGCAGUGGGGAAUAUUGCACAAUGGGCGCAAGCCUGAUGCAGCGACGCCGCGUGAGGGAUGGAGGCCUUCGGGUUGUAAACCUCUUUUGUUAGGGAGCAAGGCAUUUUGUGUUGAGUGUACCUUUCGAAUAAGCACCGGCUAACUACGUGCCAGCAGCCGCGGUAAUACGUAGGGUGCAAGCGUUAUCCGGAAUUAUUGGGCGUAAAGGGCUCGUAGGCGGUUCGUCGCGUCCGGUGUGAAAGUCCAUCGCUUAACGGUGGAUCCGCGCCGGGUACGGGCGGGCUUGAGUGCGGUAGGGGAGACUGGAAUUCCCGGUGUAACGGUGGAAUGUGUAGAUAUCGGAAAGAACACCA
RNAcentral lists this ribosomal RNA (539 nucleotides) under Bifidobacterium breve. Its description in RNAcentral is "bacterial SSU rRNA". It matches the Rfam family "Bacterial small subunit ribosomal RNA", at positions 162 to 711 of the family's 1533-position model. Lineage: Bacteria; Bacillati; Actinomycetota; Actinomycetes; Bifidobacteriales; Bifidobacteriaceae. The record is from RNAcentral.